Molecule: unclassified non-coding RNA, 250 nt
Filed under: plant metagenome
Description: partial contains small subunit ribosomal RNA, internal transcribed spacer 1, and 5.8S ribosomal RNA
Source: RNAcentral
GUAGGUGAACCUGCGGAAGGAUCAUUACUGAAGAAACAAGGGUUUUGAGACUGCGUCCUUCAAUUGGGCGUGUGCUCGACUCUUACUCUUUCAUAAUCCCAUACACACCUUUGUGCACCAAGGGGACCCUUGUGUCCCCCUUUCUUUCAUAAAUACCGAGUUAUAUGCAUGUAUAGUUUGUAUACUCUACGGAGUUAUUAUAAUUAAAUACAACUUUCAACAACGGAUCUCUUGGCUUUCGCAUCGAUGA